RNAcentral lists this ribosomal RNA (2892 nucleotides) under Triticum aestivum (bread wheat). Its description in RNAcentral is "partial small subunit ribosomal RNA". Lineage: Eukaryota; Viridiplantae; Streptophyta; Magnoliopsida; Poales; Poaceae. The record is from RNAcentral.
AUGGUCGACGAGUCGCCGUUCCCGUGCACCCUUCUGAUGCCCUUCUUCUACACGAUCCACCUCUCCACGUCCGAGGAGGUCAAUGCUGGCCUCCAGGGGAGCGACGUGGGCGCCAAGGUCGACGCUCUGAAGCGCUCCAUCGUGCUCCUCCUCAACGGCGACACGGCCCCCCACCUCCUCGCCACCGUCGUCCGCUACGUCCUCCCCUCCAAGGAACACAUCAUCCAGAGGCUCCUCCUCCUCUACCUCGAGGUCGCCCGCGACAAGCGGGACGAAGCCUCCGGCGAGCUCGUCCCGGAGAUGAUCCUCGUCCGCCACUACCUCCGCAGCAACCUCCAGCACCCCAACGAGUAUGUCCGAGGCGUCACACUGCGGUUCCUCUGUCGGCUCCGCGACCCCGAGCUGCUCGAGCCGCUCGUGCCCUCCAUUCUUGCCAACCUCAAGCAUCCGCACCCUUUCGUCCGCCGCCACGCGCUCUCCGCCAUGUCAGCGAUCUGCCGCCUGCCCUGCCCUCAUAUCGAGCAGGAGAAGCUCAUCCCGGACGCGCCGGAUCUCGCGGAGCGUGCCCUCGCCGUAGAGCAUGACCCAGCCGCACGGACGAACGCGUUCCUCGUGCUCUGCGACUGCUCGCAUGACCGCGCCAUUGCCUACUUGCUCGCCAAUGCCGCCCGCGUCACCGAGUGGCCUGCCCCCCUCCAGAUGGCCGCCAUUCAACUCAUUCGCAGAGUCUACUCUGCUGGCAACCACCUUCUCAGGAGCGCGUAUACCAAAAUCAUCAUUUCCCUCCUCUCCGCUGCCACAACUGCCGCUAUCAUGUACGGCUGCGCGUGCACGCUCUCGUCUGUGUCCCAUGCGCCGACCUUGAUCGCAAGAACAUACCUCCAGCUGCUCACUUCCCAGAGCGACAGCAACGUGAAGCUCAUCAUCCUGGACCGCCUGCGCGAGCUGUCCAGCUCACACCAUUAUAUGAUGGUCGGUUUCACCAUGGACCUUCUGCGCUCGCUCGCCGGCAGGCCUGAUCUGGAUGUCAGGAGGAAGGUUCUGGAGUUGGUAGUGCCUGGUUUGCUCACCACACGAAAUGUGGAGGACGUGGUGCACUACCUCAAGGAGGAGGUUUAUGGGGUAAUGGGCAGCGUCUUCCACAUAGCCCGUGAUGAGUACUACCAUAUGCUGAUCCGGGCGAUCCAUGUCUGUGCCGUGCCGUACCCAGAAGUGGUUGGACCGGUGGUGCACCUCCUCUGGGGCCACCUUCGUUACGGCGACGUUGCUUCAGCAUCCGAUGUGGUUCUGUUUCUGCGUGAGAUUAUCGAGGACAAACCUCUGCUUCGUUCCUCCAUUGUAUCUGGGCUGAUCGGUACGUUCUAUAAGAUCAAGGAAUCCUUCAUCUUUUCAUGUGCUCUCUGGAUCCUUGGGGAGUACACGCUUUCGCUAUGUGAGGUCGAGAAAGCCAUUGCAGCCAUUAAGGAGUCACUUGGAGAUCAGCCCUUCUAUGCCGACUCCGAGGAAAUCGAGUCAGUUGAUUCAUCGAAGCCAGCCCAUCCAGCCAUGGACUCUGACACAUACACCACACAUAGUGCCGCCACCGAUGAUUCCAUUUAUACUAGUGGGGUGUUCGAUUACAGGCAGAAUCUCAGAGCUCUCAUUAUGUCAGGAGAUUUUCACUUGGCCGCUGUUGUUGCGUGUACGUUGACCAAGCUUGUGGUGAGGCUGCAGGAGGUUCAGCCAUCUAAGGUUGAAGCAAACAAGGCAUCAGUAGAGGCCUUGCUGAUCAUGGUGUCCAUGCUGUGGCUGGGGAAAUCCUCUUACCUUCCCCACCCUAUCGACAUUGACUCAUAUGACAGGAUUGUGUUUUGUGUUAGGUUGCUUUGCAGUACCGAUGAUGAUCAUUCAAGGAAGGUCUGGUUGCUCUCGUGCCGACAGAGCUUCGCAAAUAUGAUCAUUGCUGAGAAAAAAUUUAGGCAGAAUGAGAAGAUGAAGGUCCAGGCACAGAGUUCCCUUACAUAUCCUGAUGAUUCCAUUGAUUUCUACCACCUGAAGAGCAGGAGGGGACUGGACCGACUUGAGUUGGAAGAUGAGGUCCAAGAUGAUUUAAAGGCUGCAACUGGUGAAUCUAUGAAGGGUGCAGAUGAUACAAAAAAACUGAACGCCCUUGUUCAGUUGAUAGGGUUCAGUGAUCCUGUGUAUGCUGAAGGAUUUGUUACCGUUAAUGAGUAUUAUGAUACUGUGCUUGAUAUUACAGUCAUAAACCGAACAGAAGAAACACUGCACAAUCUGUGGUUGGAGUUUGCCACGGCGAGUAAAACCGCAGUAGUUGAUCGCAGUAAGAAGUACACCGUGGCUCCUCAGGCAAGCAAGCAAAUCCAGGCUAACAUUAAGAUGUCCUCAACGAACGUUGGAGUUAUAGUUAGUCGCAUCUUUUAUGAGACUUCAGAUGCAAUGGAGCCUUCAGAGGUGAUCCUAAAAGAUAUGAGCAUUAGCAUCAUGGAUUACAUGACACCUGCUACAUGUACUGAUGUAGCCUUCCGGAAAAUGUGGGCUGAGUGUUGGUGCAAAGUUAAGUUGAAGGUCAAUACCGAGCAUCAUGAUGGGAGGGAAUUUGUAAAUUUUAUCAUCAAGUCAGUAAAAAUGCCAUGUGUAACACCAUUGUCUGCGCUUGAUGGGGACUGCGGGUUAGUUGCUGCCAAUCUCUACGGCAAGAGUGUGUUUGGCGAGGAUGCUUUGGCGAACAUCAGCGUAGAGAAGCAGGCCGACUCUAGUAAGCUCAGUGGCUACAUCACUAUACGUGGCAAUGUCCAGGGACUGGUUCUUAAUCUGGCGCAUGCAAUUAUCGCUACACAGCAGAUUACAGUUGAUGCAGCCAUGAGCCUGUCAGAAGCGUGUCAUGAGUAUUAA